RNAcentral lists this ribosomal RNA (484 nucleotides) under uncultured bacterium. Its description in RNAcentral is "partial 16S ribosomal RNA". It matches the Rfam family "Bacterial small subunit ribosomal RNA", at positions 28 to 523 of the family's 1533-position model. The record is from RNAcentral.
GAUGAACGCUGGCGGCGUGCCUAACACAUGCAAGUCGAGCGAGAACGGGUUAUAGCUUGCUAUAAUUGUCAGCUAAGUGGCGCACGGGUGAGUAAUGUAUAGGUAAUAUGCCUCUUACUAAGGGAUAACAAAUGGAAACGUUUGCUAAUACCUUAUACUCCUUAUUAACAUAAGUUAAUAAGGGAAAGAUUUAUUGGUAAGAGAUUAGCCUGUGUUGUAUCAGUUAGUUGGUGGGGUAAUGGCUUACCAAGACUAUGACACAUAACUGGUUUGAGAGGAUGAUCAGUCACACUGGAACUGAGACACGGUCCAGACUCCUACGGGAGGCAGCAGUGGGGAAUAUUGCACAAUGGACGAAAGUCUGAUGCAGCAACGCCGCGUGGAGGAUGACACAUUUCGGAGCGUAAACUCCUUUUAUAUGUGAAGAUAAUGACGGUAUUAUAUGAAUAAGCACCGGCUAACUCCGUGCCAGCAGCCGCGGUAA